CCGCUCAGCCAUCUCUCC
Molecule: transfer RNA, 18 nt
Filed under: Juniperus osteosperma
Lineage: Eukaryota; Viridiplantae; Streptophyta; Pinopsida; Cupressales; Cupressaceae
Also listed under: 2 other names
Description: partial tRNA-Ser
Source: RNAcentral